RNAcentral lists this ribosomal RNA (440 nucleotides) under uncultured bacterium. RNAcentral's name for it is "partial 16S ribosomal RNA". It matches the Rfam family "Bacterial small subunit ribosomal RNA", at positions 338 to 795 of the family's 1533-position model. The record is from RNAcentral.
CCUACGGGAGGCAGCAGUGGGGAAUAUUGCACAAUGGGGGGAACCCUGAUGCAGCGACGCCGCGUGGGUGCGGACGUACUUCGGUAUGUUAAGCCCUAUCAGCAGGGAAGAAAAUGACGGUACCUGACUAAGAAGCCCCGGAUAACUCCGAGACAGCAGCCGCGGUAAGAUGCAGGGGGCAAGCGUUAUCCGGAUGUACUGGGUGUAAAGGGAGCGUAGAGUGCGUGACAAGUCUGAUGUGAAAGGCCGGGGCUCAACCCCGGAACUGCAUUGGAAACUGGCAUGCUGGAGUGCAGGAGGGGCAAGCGGAAUUCGUAGUGUAGCGGUGAAAUGCUUAGAGAUUAGGAGGAACACCGGUGGCGAAGGCGGCUUGCUGGACGGUAACUGACGUUGAGGCUCGAAAGCGUGGGGAGCAAACAGGAUUAGAUACCCCUGUAGUC